RNAcentral lists this ribosomal RNA (492 nucleotides) under uncultured bacterium. RNAcentral's name for it is "partial 16S ribosomal RNA". It matches the Rfam family "Bacterial small subunit ribosomal RNA", at positions 29 to 507 of the family's 1533-position model. The record is from RNAcentral.
AGUGAACGCUGGCGGUAGGCCUAACACAUGCCAGUCGAACGGCAGCACAGUAAGAGCUUGCUCUUACGGGUGGCGAGUGGCGGACGGGUGAGGAAUACAUCGGAAUCUACUUUUUCGUGGGGGAUAACGUAGGGAAACUUACGCUAAUACCGCAUACGACCUACGGGUGAAAGCAGGGGAUCUUCGGACCUUGCGCGAUUGAAUGAGCCGAUGUCGGACUAGCUAGUUGGCGGGGUAAAGGCCCACCAAGGCGACGAUCCGUAGCUGGUCUGAGAGGAGGGUCAGCCACACUGGAACUGAGACACGGUCCAGACUCCUACGGGAGGCAGCAGUGGGGAAUAUUGGACAAUGGGCGCAAGCCUGAUCCAGCCAUACCGCGUGGGUGAAGAAGGCCUUCGGGUUGUAAAGCCCUUUUGUUGGGAAAGAAAAGCAGCAGGUUAAUACCCCGCUGUUCUGACGGUACCCAAAGAAUAAGCACCGGCUAACUUCGUG